Molecule: long non-coding RNA, 4433 nt
Filed under: Homo sapiens (human)
Lineage: Eukaryota; Metazoa; Chordata; Mammalia; Primates; Hominidae
Description: HSALNT0388820
Source: RNAcentral
CACACAUAUAUAUAUCUGUAUAUAUAUAUAUAUAUGUGUGUGUGUGUGUGUGAGAGUGUGUGUGUAAUGGUUGUCUGCAAGAAACACCUUUAAUUAAUCACAGCCAACCCUCAAAUAAUACGCAUAGUAUAGGACCCUUACAAUGCUACACUCCCAACUCUUCUCCCCACCCACCUUUUGUUUUCUUUCCUUCCACGGAUUCUGUGACAUCUUCCUCUCCUCAUUGACUCUGCAUGAAGGGGAUUCCUGGUGGGGGAAGGGUAGCUGGUGAGAAAUGAGGUAUCAAGAAACUAGCAAAGCAUCUUCUGGCUGUCUGUGGACAGUUCUUGUGUGGUCCCCAGCCUAGUCUCAAGGGUUCUGGGCUGGUCACCCUGCAGCCUCUGUGCUGUGUCACCAGAUUCGGGCUCUGAGGGAAGGGCCCUGGGAGGCCCAACAGAGCGGGGUGCCUUGUCUAACAUCCCCCCGUUCCUCUGGCUGUGUGGCUCAGGAAUAGGCCCAGACAGUGUGUCCAGGUGGUGCCAGGUCACCUCACUGCCCCCUUUGAGAUGGGCCCAGAGGGUUUUGUGGGGUGAGCAUGAAGCUGGGCACCCAAAGCCUGGGGCCGAGUGCCCCUCCCUGUGUCCCAGAGGAGGGGCCCUGACCUGAGAAGAUCCCCAGUGCCUGGCUUAUGGGUGCCAAUGUGGGGAGGGGUGGCUCUGAGGACUGAAGCGGGUCACUGAAAGAAGACAUUGAGCUCCAUGGCUCAGGGACCUUGGCAGUAGAGGCCUGGUAAGCAGAGACUAGGACACUGGGACUUGGUCACAAAAAAUAUGAUCAGAAAGGGCAUGGCCAUCAGAGAGUUGGUCAGGCGGCCUGGUCAUUGAGGGACUGUCAGUGAGGACCUGGUCACUGGGUGCUUGGUCAAUGGGUCUUGGUCAGUGGGGACCUGGUAAGUGGAGAUCUGAUUACUGGGGGCUUGGUCAUCAAGAGCCUGGUCAGUCAGGACCUGGUCAGUGAGGACCUGGUCAGUGAAGGACUUGUGGGGGGGCAUUGGUCAGCAGCGGCCUUGUCGGGGGAGGCUUGGUCAGUGGGGGCCUAGUUAGUGGGGUCCUGGCCAGCCGGCUGCUGGGUGACCUCAUGCAGGGGUUUGUCCUUGGAGCUUGCUUGCCGCCAUCUGUAGUGGGGAUGAGUCACAUCACCCCAGAGGGCUACUGGGAGGAGGAGAUGAGCAGGUGUGUGGAAUCCGGCCCUGCCCAACAGACCUAGCACUUUACACCCUAGCUGAGUCCCCUGCUAAAGAGGGGGCCUGCUCUCUGCCCUCCACCCUCAAUUCUCUGCUCCCCGUCCACAGGACUGCCCCACCUAGGGAGGGCUGAGGUUGGGGAACACCUGUGGACACUCUGAUGCUGGCCACAGGCCCAGGGCCGGGCGUGACAGUGACAAGGACCUGAGUGCGUACAUGAAUGGGGCCACCUGGCCCAGCCACAGAAGCAACACACCAUAUGCACGUGUUCACCCACAUAUAUGUGCACGCUCACAUUUACAAACACACUGCAUGCACACAUGUUGAUGCUUCGGGGGUGGAGGACGGUGACUGUGGGCCCUGCUGACCCAGGCGGGGGCCCAUUGUGAUGGGUGCCGUGAUCCCGUAAUGUCACUGGUGCUGAGUACCCACCCGCCUACCUGGCUGCCUUCUCUGUGUCUGGAGCUCUUAGAGACAAGAUAAACAGCGAUGUCUGGUUCUGCUCAGAGGAGGCUUUCUUAAGUGAGAGGCACAGUUGGAUCAGCAGACUCAGCUGAGUGUGACCUGCUCUGUUCCCUCCCUGCUGACCUGGGACAGUCGCUACCAGGCAGUGCUGGCCUCUGGGCGGGUGCCGAGGAGGGUCAUCCCUGAGCACUCACCAGGUAGGUGCCUGUUCUGCACUGACGGUAUAGAUGUUCGUCUUGUUGGUCGUCACAGUGACGCUGGUGGGGGUGGGUGCUGUCCCCUAAUGUACCCAUUCCACAGGUGAGAUGUCUAGGGUCAGAGAGGCAGCGACUGGUCCAGAGACCCAGAUGUGACCCUGGGCCAUGCUCUUAGCCCUGCCCUGUGCUACGCUGGACUCAAGCCCUGACCUCUGUGGCCUCCCUGCCCUGGAUUCCAAAUCCAUCCGGGGUUCCAGCCCCUGAUGGGGCAGAGUCUGGCCCUGGAAGAGCCACUGGGACAGAGAUCCUAUGGGUGAGGUGGAGGGGGUGGUCCUCAGUCCAAGUCUGUGCCCUAAGCUGGGACCCCGCGGGAGGUCUCACCAACUCAGACUUCACAUGUGGUCACUGAGGGUCAUUGUGGGACCCACUGGACACAGGGGGUCCCUUGUCUGGGAGUGGGGUGAAGAGCCUUCUGCCCUUGGGCAGUUAGGUAGGGGACUUUGAGCACUGCUGCUUUGGGACCUGGGAAGUGGGGACCUGGGCAGCGGGGUCCUCGUCAUUGAGAACAUGGUCAGUGAGAGAUUUGGUCAUCAUGGGUUGGGUCAGGGGGGCCUGGUCAGCAGAGACUUGGACACUGGGGCUUAGUGAAAAUAUGAUCAGUGGGGAAAUAGUCACGGGGCCUGCUCAGUAGGGCCUGGCUAGCAGAGGCCUGGCCAGCUGGCCACUGGAUGACCUGACAGGGGGUUUGUCCUUGGAGCCUCUUUGCCUCUAUUCAUAGUGGGGAUGAGUCAUAGCAUCCCUCAGCACUCGCCAGGUGCAGGUUUUGUGCUGACCUUGUAGAUGGCCUUUUCCUUCAUCCCCACAGCAACUCCAUGGGGCGGAUCCUGUCCCCGAAUGUAGCCAUUCCACAGGUGAGAUGUCUAGAGUCAGAGAGGUGAUGACUGGCCCAGAGACCCAGAUGUGGCCUGGGCCGUGCACUCAGCCCUGCCCUGUGCAGUGCUAGACUCAAGCCCUGACCUUUGCAGCCUCCCUGCCUUAGAUCCCACAUUUCCCUGGGGUUCUGGACCCUGAUGGGGUGGAGGGGGUGAUUCUCAGUCCAAGUCUGUGCCCAAAGCUUGGUCCCCACAGGAGGAGGUCUCAUCAACUCAGACUUCAGGUGCGGUCACUGAUGGUUGCUGUGGGACCCACUGGACACAUGGAGUCCUUCGUCUGGGAGUGGGGUGGGGAGGCCUCUGCCCUCGGGCAGUUGUGGAAAAUGAAGGAGCUCUAGAGGGCUGCCUGGAGGGUGAUGAUCGUCCCUCUUGGUCAAAGGGGCUUGGGGACUGGAACCUUCUCUGUCUGAUUCUCUAGAGGUCUUGUCUUCCCUUUGUCCCAAGUAUUCCCAAGGAAGAUGGUCCCCCUGGGUGUUCUCCAGGACCAAGUCCCCAGAAUUCUCUUGUUUUUUCCUUGGUGAUCCAGGAAAACGAAGCCCCCUCCUGUAUUGACAGCUGGGAAUUGUGGAGUCCACCGUCCUCCACCUGAGACGAGCACAGGGUCUCCACGAGGACAGAGGCUGCUUUGGACUCAAUAGAAAACUGGGCAUCUUCAUGGUCCUAGAAGGAUCCCAGGAGGCUGAUCCUAUAGAGACGUCUGGUUCCUGACCCCAACUGCCUCCAGGUGCCUGGAACAGCCCAUCGUGGGCCCUUUACCCUCAGCAGGUGGACGCCGUUGGUCCUGCCAGGGAUGGAGAUGGAUGAGCACCCGGAUAUCCUGCCCACCCAGGGGCAAGGCAACAUCAUCAUUACUAAGUAUGAGCAGGGACGCUGAGCUGGGGCAGCAGUGGACACAGAGCAUGAGCGUGUUGACAUCUGGAAAUUCACCAGUCGUCUCUGGGUUGUGUGUGAGACAGAGCUGCCCGUGUCAGUGCCCUGGAGGUGAAGGGAAGAGCCUGUGCCUGCUGCGUGGGAGACUGGUCCAGGGACAGGGAAUCAGGAGUGGUUGGUGAGACAGAGGGGGUGGCCUGCGGGCCCGGGCGGUGGUAAGUGGGCCAGGGCUGUCCCUGGGAGGGGCGGCCUUUCCUGACGGACUCUGUUCCCAUGAGCAUUUGACCAAAACCCAAAUCAAGAACCACAGUCUUGGCUCAGAGGUCACUGCCUGUUUGUACCAAGUCCCCAGCUAAGGGCCAGGACCUGACCAAAACUCGGGGUGUCUGUGGCCUGAGGAUGGUGUGUCCUGGCAUGACCAGUCCAGACCACCAGCUCCAGUUAGUUCAGAGGGUCUCAGCCCCCGGGCUCUGCUCUUUCCUUGCUCCUUCAGGGCCCCAAAGCCCAGGACCCAGCAUCCAUGGGCCGCUGCCGGAGGCCUGGCAGCUCCGCUAACUCCAUCAUGGCUCAUUUGACAGCAAAGGUGUCAGGAAAUAAAAUGUACUGACAAGUGGCUGAAGAUGCUUGGAGACUGGCCAAAAUAUAAGAACAGCAAGAAGGUGACAUGGCGGUUGGGCCUGGUAGCUCAGGCCUGUAACCCCAGCACUUCGGGAGGCUGAGGUGGGCGGAUCACCUGAGGUCAGGAGU